Molecule: RNA transcript, 4934 nt
Organism: Limulus polyphemus (Atlantic horseshoe crab)
Lineage: Eukaryota; Metazoa; Arthropoda; Merostomata; Xiphosura; Limulidae
Exons: 5
Source: RefSeq, a predicted model, not a curated record
ACAGCAAAAAAAAGCCUUAAAAGCAAAAUGAAAUUAUAUUUGUACGUAUUUCAACGCUAUUCUUAAUCGGCAACUCGAUUAGAAAUCAACAACUUGCAUCUCCUUAUUGUGUUUCAAAGGUGCAGAAGAACCUGCAAGUUAUAUGGGUUGCUAAUGAAUACUCCCUAAUUUCCUAAUAUACCAAGGACAAGUAUAUUUGUACAAAAUCAUUAAUCUUUGGAGUUUAGGAAUUUUAUCCUUGUAUGAAAAAGGACUGGGAAGCCUGAAAGAAAUACUGAAGUGACAAGAAAACCAGAACUGGUUCUCUGCAGGACUUAGCUGGCUUUGUCAACUAUGAAAGGUUGACUUUUAUUGAUUCCUGAUGGCAACAACAGCAUGUUUCUCUUCAUUGCAUGAGCUUGAAGCUUUACUUCAACGAUGCUUUAAUUGCUGUAAAGGGGACUGCAAGUCCUACCACUGCCCUUUUUGCCCUGCCUCAAAGUUCAAACCAACAAAGAUGGUGAAAGUCAAGAGCCACUUAAAGGUACAUUGGAAAACACGUGUAUCUGGGACCAAUGGUCUUUAUUCAAUCAUCUGUCAUCUUCCACAUGAGGGUAAAACAUCCAGGCAUUACCACUGUCCAUCGUGUAAAAAAGUUAUUGUUAGAAAGAGUAAUCUCAGUGACCACAUCAACAAAAACUGCAAAGGUUAUGCUUCUCCUGUUAUCCCUGAAAGGUCUGCUACAGUAAUCAGACUAAACAGUGUUGGGUCAAGUGAGAAAUGUCUUUCCAGUUCAGCCAAGGAAGAAGUGGAGUACUUGGUGCUUGUGCUGGGCUCAGAUGACAAGAAUGAGGAUAAGGUAGAAAAGUAAAUAGAAUGUAGGAAUAUUGUUCUAAGCCAAGAAGAUUUGAAAGCUGUGGCAGAAAUAUUGACACCUGCAGUCAUGAAGGCAGUGGCAGAAAUAUUGACACCUGCAAGUCAUGAAGGAUGUGGCAGAAAUAUUGACACCUGCAAGUCAUGAAGGAUGUGGCAGAAAUAUUGACACCUGCAAGUCAUGAAGGAUGUGGCAGAAAUAUUGACACCUGCAAGUCAUGAAGCAGUCUGGUGAUUUGGAAGUUGCUUUACCAAGAAUUGAGUUAGAGAACAGCCAAGUUGUGUAUUAUGAAACUGUGCAAUAGUGCAUCGAUGAGAACAGGUAAUUACCACAGUGCAAGACGUAAGAUAUUGGAGACAGCAUAUCACGUGUAGUAUAAAACUUGGAAAAACAUAUUUAUGUAUACUUUAUAAGUAGAAAUGAAACACUUUUUAACCAUCAUUUCACAUUCAUGUAUGAAACAUAUUCCUUAAGUUCAUUAAUUGUGGAAGAGAGGGGUGGGGAAAGGGUGCAUAGUACCUUCUUUUGCUGGAGGAGUUAUACCCCAGAUUUGUAGUUACCACAAUUUAUAGCACUGUUAAAAGGUUAUGACUUCCAAAAUGCUUGGUGGGGAGAUACUUACAAGUGAAUAUGAAGCUAAGGGUAACCAAUAAUUAAUCAUGUACAAACAAUAACCACACAAACAUAAGCAAUACCUAGUCGUAUCAGAGUUUCGAUUGUGAUGACAAAGAACCCACAUUUUAGAAAAUAAAGUUUGGAGAUGGUUUGAAUAGGUAAGGAAAGAAACUAUUACAAAUAUAUAAUGUUUCGACAAGCUUUUGUGAUCACCAUAAUUUGUAAUAGGUUCUUUCAUUAACCAUUCAAGCCAUCUCCAAACUUCAAUCACCUAACCAUGGUGUUUACCAAUCGUACACCACUGAGUAUCAGACUUAUGCCAGUAGUGAUACCAGAAUCUCCAACUGUAACCUACAAUAAGUUAUAAAAUACCACACAUCAUGUUAUCAAGAGCAUAACGACAACUUAAAAAAAUGGUAUGAUAUUUAAUAACCAUAAAUAAAUAAAAUUACAUAAUGCUUAACAUAUAUGUAAGUGUAGUUGCCAUGCAUUAUAUAAAUAUUUUACAAUAGGAUUUACUGCUUCCAAAUAUUCUGUAAAGUUAUUAAGUGUGAUACAGAAACAUCUUCAUUAUUAAUUUGGGUAACUAAGAAAUAAAUAUACUGGUAAAGAUAUAUUGAAAAAUGAAAUAUAAAAAACACAACUUAUUUAGAUUAUUUCAAAUUCAAAAAAACUUUUGCCGUUUGGCAAUCUUAUUCAUUUUAUGUUGCUUCCUAAUGGCACAGUGGUAAGUCUGAAGACUUAUAAUGCUAAAAACCAGGUUUCAAUACUGGUGGUGGACACAACACGGAUAGCUCAUUGUGUAGCUUUGUGCUUAACUAUGAAAAAAACAUUUUAUAUUUCUAUGUUUUGGUGGUGCUUAAAUGAAGAUUCUUUUCUCAUUGACACACAAGUAGUGAAAGAUUUCUCUCACAUCACUAACUGUAACAACAAAUUUAAGCUUCAAUGGCAGUAUUGAAAGCUUUUGAUUAUAAAAUCUUUUAAAAAUGGUUGUAUUGAAAAUUUGGUACUUGGUGCAUUUUGUUUGUAAGAAAUAUCUUUUUAAUUUAAAAGUUAAACAUUAAAAAAGAUUAAUUCCUUUUGGUUUGAAAUGUUUAUUUCUUCUUUCAAAAUGAGAGUGCAAAACAAGCAUCUAGAACAGAGUGAAUAACUUCAACUAAGCUGCAAGCUACACAUGUGCUAUUCAAACUCCCUCAAGACACCUGUUUGCUAGUUACAAGCCAAAAAUAAUGCAUGUGGAUAAAAUUUAGCUAUACAAAAAACAUUUCAGGAUGCAGGGGAGCCUCUGGUUGACCCCCAAAUAGCCAUGACCGAUCUAAAAGUGCUAAGUAGGAUUAUACUUUUGACUUGCAGGUUUUGAACAAUAAAUAAUGUUACUAAUAUGUUUGUCCAUACUGUGUAGUAGACAAAUUGUGUGAUUUGUUGUUUUUUUUUCUGGUUUCUACAAAUUUUUCACAUCCCACAAUUCUGAUGCUGAGAAAAAAUAAUUGUAAUAUGACAACUGUUUGUUUGUAUAAGCAGAUUACUUAUGAAGAAAUAUUAUUUGUUAAAUAACUUGCUUUACGGGUAUUUCUUCAUUGCCCCUUUUCAGAUGUUUAUAACUAAUAAACGUAUUAGUCCACAAUGAAAAUAUUACUCAUUCACAUGUUUUAAUUCCAACCUUUUUUUUUUUUUUUACUUAAAGACACAUCUUUGUAAUAUGUUUUUCAAACUAUAGUCAUUCUUGCAUCAGUAAUUAGAAAUAAACUGUUACAAGUUACUUCUGAGUCAUUAGUGCUUUUUAUUUCUUAAGCUAUCAUGACUCGUGACUCUAUAAAAGUGUAAAGUAUACAGUUCAGGGGUAGAAAUAAUGAAAUUAAAUUCACUCAAGGGAAAGCCAUUGGGAAGAUUACAUUCCUUCGUGUAAAGUUAUAUUUCCCCAUGAAUUGUUUUUUAUUUUAUUUAAUCUAUGCAAUAUGUUCACUUUCAUUGGUCAUAACAAAAGAAAUAUGGAUGGACCGUACAUUCCCAACUAAAAAGAUGAAAUUCCUCGGGAAUGUAAUAUUUCAAUCCCUGCAGUUAAUACCGUCGAGUUCAACAUGCUUCCUUAUAAGAUGAAUUUAGUUCAUUUGUGGUAACUUUUAAAGAUCUUGAUACACAAUACUUUUUUUGUUACACGUUGUCAAAAAACACCCACCAGAUUUUUCUGUAAUUUUAUAAAAUAUGUAAUAUCUUAUUUUUAAACCUACAUAUCUGUACAGCAUGUCUGAAAAUAAAAUUUCUUCUGUUUACAUACUUUUGAAUAUUAAACCUGUGACAUGUUGUCAUAAUAUUCUUUGCUUCCUGUAAUGUACAUUAAGUGAUUUUAUGAAAUUCCUGUAGCCAUUGUAGUGGAGGUUCAGUCUGUUGUCAGCUUUAACAUAAGUUCUAAACAUCUUGUGUUUUAUGACUGUGAUAAGUAUUGGAUGGCAUGUUGGGUGAAUGCUGAUCGUACAAGUUUUACUGUUAUUAAUUAUUCAUCAUUUUUGUAAUGGGUUAACAUUAUUAUGGAGAAAAGUGUUACUACAAUAUGAAAUAAGCCAAACAAGGGUAUAUUUUUACAAGAAGUCAAAUAAAUGAUGUUUUACUAAGUGUCUAUAGUAAGAUUGUGGGGAUUGGAUAUCAAUCUUGUCACAGUUAGUAGCCUAUAUUGUCACCUAAAUCUAAUUGUUAGUUAGUUACUUUUUUAAUUCUAGAUACUAAUUUCUAACUUGUGUGUAAUUCUCAGUUCUGCCUGCUAUCUGCUACCAUCUUCAGGGAAGUCCCAAGAAGGACUGUUUUCGAUGAUUGGCUAGGAUUGAUUCUAAUUAUUUUUCAUAUAAACGCUGGUGUUCCAUUAGGAAUGCUAAAUUGUUUGUCUGGUAAUACAUUGAAAAUGAUGGAUCCACCCCCACCCUGAAUACAGUCUGUGUUUGGUAAUUUGUUAUGAUGCUCAAGAAUGUAAGACAUGUUUUCUUUAAGAUAUAAAAGAAAAUGGUGCACAAAAAUUCAGUUUUUAUUAACUUGCUACGUUUGGCAUCAAAUUAAAGGUUUUUAUUUUCUUGGUGUUGAAAUGAUUGACCAAAAAAUACAAUUAUGAUUCAUUAUGUCCAAGAUUAGAGUAUAAACAAAAAAUUUUUUUCUGAAAUAUUUCAUAACUUUUAGGGGGGCAAUUGCCCAGGGGAAUGAAACCUGGUUAUGCCAUAAGGCCCGCAAAGCAUCUUUAGACUAUAUCUUCAUUUAAGGGUAAAAACCAUAGUUUAACUCUGGUUAAACAUUAGAACCCACUAGCUAGCCACAUGUUAUUAUUAUGGUGGUCUAAAACAAAAGAUCACAUCCAUGGAUAAUGGGAAAUACUUACUUGUUCUUGUUAUGCUGAAACAUUUCUUUCUGCUACCAACGUAUAUGUAUUUAUCAAAUCUAUGUUAUUCAUAUAUUGAACAAAGGUAAUUAUUAAGCAAAGUUAAAA